GUGGUCUGCAGUCACGACAACGGACAGCAGCUGGACUGAUGCCACAUUGUUGGCAGAUCUGAGUUGUCACAUUUUGUUGUGCUACCAUGGUAUUCACCAGACAGGCUCUUUCUUUCUCCCACCUCUCUGAGAGGAGACUUUUUCGAGUAGACCAGUCUGAAGAGGCCCGUGGUGGUGCUGGUGCCGUUUCCUGAUCAUCCAAGUCAUCACCCUGUUGAUGGCUGGUGGAUGGUGCUGCCUCCUGUUCUCCCGACAUCUUAUUAAUGAAAUCAUCCAAGCUCUGGAGUUCAUAAUUUAAUUCAGAAUGUUCAACAAGCUCAUCAAGCUCAUCAAGGACCUGUUCGAAAUUGGAAUGGUCACUCAUGACGAACAAGGACAAACAAAACAACACUAAAGGGAUAGGGGGAAGAGCAAAUGAGCAAGAACCACGGAGAACUAGACGGACUAACAACAAUUAAAUAGACAAACGUGGCUCUUAAAAGUGCCUUUGUUUUUGCUUUUUAAUGAAACAGAAGUUUUAAAAUAAAUGAUGAAGGAACAAGGGGACCUGUUGAGAGAAGGGAAAGAUAAUACAUUCAGAUUUGAAGAUCAUGCUACAUACAAAUACAUAUAUACUGAAAAACUGAAAGGUUUAAGAACUUGAGAAAAUGUUGGUCAAGUUUGCCCAUGGUUUGGGAUGUGGCGGGGAGGUCUGUGGGUGCUUAUAGUAUUAGGCCAGAAUACUGUAGGGCUGGGUGUUGCCUGAAAACUCACAAUACAAUAGCUCAAAAGGGAUGGACUGAUCUUUACAAUCAUGGCUGAUAUUGAUACCAACCAUUCAAAAUGCCAGUUUGGCUGAUAAUCAGUGCCAUUUUUUUAAAUAUGUUUUAUAAGUUAUUAAUUCUACUUUUGUACUAACAAGGAAAAAUAUUUCUUUAACUGGUUUAUUUCCUUUUCCCUGUGAUAAUUUUACUGUAUAUAAAUGGGCACAAAACACUUGGCAAAGAAAGAGCAACGACAUACAACCACAAGAAGAAUCCCAACGCAGAAAUACAUUAUAGCUGCUGUAACACGUUAUGUCUCAUUAUGAAAAUCUUACAUUCUCUUAUGAUUGUACCUUACAUGAUUAUAUGCGACAAAAAAUUAACUUGAAUUCAAUUAGCUAACUUUGCUAGCCUGCACAUUUGGUACAGAAAGCCAUUUUUUUUAGAAUGUUUUCCAUUAUUUAUCGUCAUAAGAUAUGGCCACCUUAAAAAAUGUAAAGUUCCUAAACACAACUUCUUGUCCUGAUUCAACAGUUUUGAUGUGUAAAUGUAAGAAUAGUAUCGAUCUUUAUUAAUUAAGCCUUCUAACAUUACUUUACUUACCGAGUGGAAAAUCGCAAUGGACCUUGGGAUCGCCCAUACGGUGACGUCAGCGUUAUUAAUUUAGAGGAUUUAAUAAUAAUAAUAAUAAUAAUAAUAAAAAGAUUAAUUGAACACAAUCGUAGCAUUUAUAUGCAUUUAUUAAAAUCAACAAACCUCUGAUAAAAAUACGUUAUCCAGCAUGCUAUAGUUAAAGCGGUGUCCUACCAAUGAUAAGAAAACGCUUAAACUGCUUACUUGCACGCGCCUUGGAGCGUUGUUAAACUCACCUUUUAAUGCUGUUUUACCUGCAGUCGAGCGUUGCUUUGGUCAAACUCACCUCUGAAUGCCGUUUUCCCUGCAGGUGAGCGUUGUUAAACUCAUCUCUGAAUGCCGUUUUCCCUGCAGGUGAGCAUUGUUAAACUCACCGCUGAUGAACGCGCUAAACCUUUGCGGGCGCUUUGAUAUCAGAUUGCGAGGCUUUUUAAACAUCAAAAACCCGCCAUUUGGGGGCCGCCAUUUGACUCACCUUGGCAUAGAUCAUUUUUUGUAACCUGUUCCUUUUUAUUUUUAUUUAUUGUAGUCUAGAUCCAUACGAGGCAGACAAUGGGUUGUGGUGUGCUGAAACAAGACGUCAAAUUUCAACGCUGUUUAGUUCCAUAGAAGUCUAUCGGACUACCCCCCACGUUGAAAAAAGACGUCAAAGGUAUACCCAGUGCGUCAAAAAAGUGACGCCAGAUCCCUUGACCAUGCGUCAGACAUUUGACGAGUAGCGAGUGAGACUGUGUUGGGCUUCCACCUUACUCGGGUCUGUGGAGAUACCAUGGAUAUUCACCACAUGCCCAAGAAAAGUCAACUCCUGAAGACAAAACCUGCUCUUCUU
Long non-coding RNA from Cyprinus carpio carpio, 2205 nucleotides. Lineage: Eukaryota; Metazoa; Chordata; Actinopteri; Cypriniformes; Cyprinidae. The record is from Ensembl.